Molecule: ribosomal RNA, 207 nt
Filed under: uncultured bacterium
Lineage: Bacteria
Description: partial 16S ribosomal RNA
Rfam family: Bacterial small subunit ribosomal RNA
Source: RNAcentral
AAUGUAGGCGGUUUUGCAAGUCAGGGGUGAAAUCCCUCAGCUUAACUGAGGAAGUGCCUUUGAAACUGCAUAACUAGAGGACAGGAGAGGAAAGUGGAAUUCCCGGUGUAGCGGUGGAAUGCGUAGAUAUCGGGAGGAACACCAGAGGCGAAGGCGGCUUUCUGGACUGAUCCUGACGCUGAGAUUCGAAAGCUAGGGGAGCAAACA